AGAGUUUGAUCAUGGCUCAGAUUGAACGCUGGCGGCAGGCCUAACACAUGCAAGUCGAGCGGUAGCACAGAGAGCUUGCUCUCGGGUGACGAGCGGCGGACGGGUGAGUAAUGUCUGGGAAACUGCCUGAUGGAGGGGGAUAACUACUGGAAACGGUAGCUAAUACCGCAUAAUGUCGCAAGACCAAAGUGGGGGACCUUCGGGCCUCAUGCCAUCAGAUGUGCCCAGAUGGGAUUAGCUAGUAGGUGGGGUAACGGCUCACCUAGGCGACGAUCCCUAGCUGGUCUGAGAGGAUGACCAGCCACACUGGAACUGAGACACGGUCCAGACUCCUACGGGAGGCAGCAGUGGGGAAUAUUGCACAAUGGGCGCAAGCCUGAUGCAGCCAUGCCGCGUGUGUGAAGAAGGCCUUCGGGUUGUAAAGCACUUUCAGCGGGGAGGAAGGCGNNNNCGAUUGACGUUACCCGCAGAAGAAGCACCGGCUAACUCCGUGCCAGCAGCCGCGGUAAUACGGAGGGUGCAAGCGUUAAUCGGAAUUACUGGGCGUAAAGCGCACGCAGGCGGUCUGUCAAGUCGGAUGUGAAAUCCCCGGGCUCAACCUGGGAACUGCAUUCGAAACUGGCAGGCUAGAGUCUUGUAGAGGGGGGUAGAAUUCCAGGUGUAGCGGUGAAAUGCGUAGAGAUCUGGAGGAAUACCGGUGGCGAAGGCGGCCCCCUGGACAAAGACUGACGCUCAGGUGCGAAAGCGUGGGGAGCAAACAGGAUUAGAUACCCUGGUAGUCCACGCCGUAAACGAUGUCGAUUUGGAGGUUGUGCCCUUGAGGCGUGGCUUCCGGAGCUAACGCGUUAAAUCGACCGCCUGGGGAGUACGGCCGCAAGGUUAAAACUCAAAUGAAUUGACGGGGGCCCGCACAAGCGGUGGAGCAUGUGGUUUAAUUCGAUGCAACGCGAAGAACCUUACCUGGUCUUGACAUCCACAGAACUUUCCAGAGAUGGAUUGGUGCCUUCGGGAACUGUGAGACAGGUGCUGCAUGGCUGUCGUCAGCUCGUGUUGUGAAAUGUUGGGUUAAGUCCCGCAACGAGCGCAACCCUUAUCCUUUGUUGCCAGCGGUCCGGCCGGGAACUCAAAGGAGACUGCCAGUGAUAAACUGGAGGAAGGUGGGGAUGACGUCAAGUCAUCAUGGCCCUUACGACCAGGGCUACACACGUGCUACAAUGGCAUAUACAAAGAGAAGCGACCUCGCGAGAGCAAGCGGACCUCAUAAAGUAUGUCGUAGUCCGGAUUGGAGUCUGCAACUCGACUCCAUGAAGUCGGAAUCGCUAGUAAUCGUAGAUCAGAAUGCUACGGUGAAUACGUUCCCGGGCCUUGUACACACCGCCCGUCACACCAUGGGAGUGGGUUGCAAAAGAAGUAGGUAGCUUAACCUUCGGGAGGGCGCUUACCACUUUGUGAUUCAUGACUGGGGUGAAGUCGUAACAAGGUAACCGUAGGGGAACCUGCGGUUGGAUCACCU
RNAcentral lists this ribosomal RNA (1513 nucleotides) under Klebsiella pneumoniae. RNAcentral's name for it is "bacterial SSU rRNA". It matches the Rfam family "Bacterial small subunit ribosomal RNA". The record is from RNAcentral. Lineage: Bacteria; Pseudomonadati; Pseudomonadota; Gammaproteobacteria; Enterobacterales; Enterobacteriaceae.